Molecule: ribosomal RNA, 662 nt
Filed under: Alexandrium tamarense
Lineage: Eukaryota; Dinophyceae; Gonyaulacales; Pyrocystaceae
Description: LSU rRNA
Rfam family: Eukaryotic large subunit ribosomal RNA
Source: RNAcentral
UAAGUGGUGGAAAUUAAACCAAAUGGGAUAUCUUUAGUAAUUGCGAAUGAACAAGGAUAUGCUUAGCUUGACAAAUGGAGCUAUUGGCUUUGAAUUGUAUUGUGGAAAUGUAUUACCAACAGAGGUGCAGGUGCCAGCCUAUUGAAAUAAAGCGUCAAUGAGGGUGAGAAUCCUGUUUGUCAUGUGCAGCCCUUUGUGCACGGUGUAUAUUUGCUGAGUCACGCUCCUUGGCAUUGGAAUGCAAAGUGGGUGGUAAGUUUCAUGUAAAGGUAAACAUGCAAUUGAGACUGAUAGCACACAAGUACCAUGAGGGAAAUAUGAAAAGGACUUUGAAAAGAGAAUUAAAUGAGUUUGUAUUUGCUGAACACAAAGUAAACAGACUUGAUUUGCUUGGUGGGAGUGUUGCACUUGCUUGACAAGAGCUUUGGGCUGUGGGUGUAAUGAUUCUUUCUUUGCAUGCCAGUUUCUAUUUGUACAUCUGAUUACCUUUGCACAUGAAUGAUAAGUCUCCUGUGGGGGGUGGAUUGCAUGUGCAUGUAAUGAUUUGUGUUUUGAUAAAUGUGUCUGGUGUAUGUGUGUGUUCCUGUGCUUGGGGAUGCUUCCUUCCUUGGACUUACAAGCCCUGACACACACAUGCUGGCAAAAUGCUUCUGCUUGACCCG